Molecule: transfer RNA, 73 nt
Filed under: Actinomycetota bacterium
Lineage: Bacteria; Bacillati; Actinomycetota
Description: tRNA-Thr
Rfam family: tRNA
About the family: Transfer RNA (tRNA) molecules are approximately 80 nucleotides in length. Their secondary structure includes four short double-helical elements and three loops (D, anti-codon, and T loops). Further hydrogen bonds mediate the characteristic L-shaped molecular structure. tRNAs have two regions of fundamental functional importance: the anti-codon, which is responsible for specific mRNA codon recognition, and the 3' end, to which the tRNAs corresponding amino acid is attached (by aminoacyl-tRNA synthetases). tRNAs cope with the degeneracy of the genetic code in two manners: having more than one tRNA (with a specific anti-codon) for a particular amino acid; and 'wobble' base-pairing, i.e. permitting non-standard base-pairing at the 3rd anti-codon position.
Source: RNAcentral
GCCCGAGUAGCUCAGACGGCAGAGCAGCGCACUCGUAAUGCGCAGGUCAGCGGUUCGAUUCCGCUCUCGGGCU